GUUCAAUCUAGGGUUCUAGCAGUGUAAAGAUGCCAACACACAACUGAAAUAGGGCGGGGGCUCACCAACAGCAGCAAUGGAGCUGGAGCUGUGGCUCACAAUGGCAGACCUGGGAUGCUCUUAUCUACUGCUUGUAUUUCUGGAUUUUCUCUAAACGUUGGGUUCAAGAGAGGAUCAAGAAAAGAAAAGUCCAACAGGGAAUUACUAGCGAUCUCAAUCGAGCAAGGAGUCUGAGAGGUAGUUGAAUCAUUUUAGCAGCAGCAACAACAAGAGGUGAGUUUUGUAACUCAUGUAGUAUGACAAAUGAAGUUAUGCUUCUGUCUUCUUGGUUUUUCAAGCCAUAUUGUUUUCUUGUUUUUCCAACCA
Molecule: long non-coding RNA, 366 nt
Organism: Selaginella moellendorffii
Lineage: Eukaryota; Viridiplantae; Streptophyta; Lycopodiopsida; Selaginellales; Selaginellaceae
Exons: 3
Source: RefSeq, a predicted model, not a curated record